UAUUGGACAAUGGGCGCAAGCCUGAUCCAGCAAUACCGCGUGUGUGAAGAAGGCCUUAGGGUUGUAAAGCACUUUCAAUUGGGAGGAAAACCUGCCGGCCAAUACCCGGUAGCUUGACAUUACCUUUAGAAGAAGCACCGGCUAACUCCGUGCCAGCAGCCGCGGUAAUACGGAGGGUGCGAGCGUUAAUCGGAAUUACUGGGCGUAAAGCGUGCGUAGGCGGUUCGUUAAGUCAGAUGUGAAAGCCCUGGGCUCAACCUGGGAACGGCAUUUGAAACUGGCGGACUAGAGUUUAGUAGAGGGGAGUGGAAUUCCAGGUGUAGCGGUGAAAUGCGUAGAUAUCUGAAGGAACACCAGUGGCGAAGGCGACUCCCUGGACUAGAACUGACGCUGAGUACGAA
Molecule: ribosomal RNA, 401 nt
Filed under: uncultured bacterium
Lineage: Bacteria
Description: bacterial SSU rRNA
Rfam family: Bacterial small subunit ribosomal RNA
Source: RNAcentral